CUUCCUUUAACCUCCUGUCAGGACAGAAGGCAGAGCCAGCUGGAAAGAAUCGGCAAGUAAGCCAAGUCUGGGCUCCUUAGGCUGUCCAGGCCUCCCCUUCCUCCCUCCUGCUGGCUGUGUGCACCUCCCUUUGGUGGCAGGAUGUAGGGACAGAAGCUUGGUGAUGUUGACAGAGCUUUGGACUUCAAGCCAGAUGGCCCACUGCUGCUGACUGGCCGGCUCUGUGCCCCUGGGUAAAUUGUGGCCUCAGUUUCCUCAUCUGUGCAAGGCAAUAACAACCCUCCUUUUACAGGGUGUUGGGAAGCCAAAGUGUCCAGGGCAGUGCUGUGUGGAUUGUCCAGCACGGGGCACUGCACCAGGCCAACUCUGCAGGCUGGGCCCUUGCAGCCACAGGCCUUGUUGCUCCCACAUGAAGGCCAGAUGCCCUACAGCUGGGCUCCACUGUCAGAAGCCCCAGCCACGUGUCACUGGUGUCCUUAGGUCCUGCUGGCUGAACGUUUCCUGAAACCAGGGCCCUGUUUUCCCAUCUGUGAAGUGGGGCAGCCUUGGUUACAGACUCCUUUCUGCCUCCCAGGGAUGAAUUGAGAGAGAGUGAGAUCAUGUCUGGGCCACGCUCUGGGAGCUUCAGAGGCGUCCUAAGAUAAACACCAGGCGGCCUAACUGCCUGGAAGAACAGAGGCUGCCACAAACCUCGGCUCCACUCCCCACUAUCGAGGGGGUGGGGGAAGCACGCCUUUCCUGUCAGGUGGGCAAUCAGACCCGUUCUGAGCCACAGCUGAAGCAGUAGAACAGGCAGAUGUCUUGCAGGCUCCUUCCUACAGUGCUGGCUGAGACAACAAAGAGGUAGUAUUGCUCAAGGGCUUGGAAGGAAGAGACAGGGGUCAGAGUGGCAAAGCCCCGAGACAGAAGGAGGAAAGUGAGGGAGGGAAGGAGACAAAAACAAGGCCUAGGCUGGGCAGGCAUCUGUAAUCCCAGCACUCAGGAAGCUGAGGCAGGAGGAUUGCUGUGAGUUCGAGCCAAGCCUGAGCUAUACAGUGAGUUCAAGGCCAGACUGAACUGUAGCUUACAUAGUGAGACUCUCAAAAAGAAAAAAUAAAAACAAAAAGAAAGAGAAACCUUGCACAAAGACUCUGGGUGUCCUUUAUUCCUAAAAGGAGAGGGAUGCU
Molecule: long non-coding RNA, 1166 nt
Filed under: Heterocephalus glaber (naked mole-rat)
Lineage: Eukaryota; Metazoa; Chordata; Mammalia; Rodentia; Bathyergidae
Description: lncRNA (ENSHGLG00100046505.1)
Source: RNAcentral